AAAAUAAAUGAUAUCUUAUACACUUCCCAAGGACUGGUAGUACAAAUCAUGAGCUUCUAAGAGUAGAAUUUACAAAACUGAUAUAAAACAAAUGCAUCUUCUGUUUGAAAAGUUACAUAAAUAAAGUUUAAUGAAUCUAAGGCUACCAUGAACAAGAGGCAGCUACAACAGGGACGCCGGUACAUUUUUCCAAGUCAGCUCCCAUCGAACACAGCAAUGUCGACAUCCAAAAUCUGCACGCAAUGUGUAGGAAGUGUAGUAUGAGUACAAUCGACCACAUGUACUCAAAAAGUAACAAACCUAAACUUAGGUUGAAAGUAGUGACAAGCUUGUACCAAGGUCAGAGUCCACACCAAUAUCCAGUAACAUCUUAUAACAAUAUAAUUAAGCAGCACAAAGAAUAAUUUAAUAAUAAAAUGCUCAAGCUCAUUCACAGUUCAAGAAAAAUAAACCUUUUCUUUUCAAGUAUAACAGUAAAGCUCAAUUCUUUUCACUGAAAUUACCAAAAUAUAAGUAAGUCUGAAAAUUGUGAAUUUUUCCAUAAAACCUUUCAACAAGUAAACAUUUAAUUUUCAGAUAGCAUGAGGAAAGUACAUCUCUAUGCCUACAUGUCAAGAUACAUGCAAAAUCAUGAAUGUCACCAAAAUCAGGCGGCAAAAAGAAAUGCAACUCUAAGCAUAUAUCUCAAGUACACAUGCCAAAAUGCAAUGCCUCUCAAUAAUGAACUCACGUACUCACACUCUCAAUCACUCAGCACCGAAGAGUACUUGUCCAAAUUCUCUCUCUAAACUUGGGCGCCUCUCUUGUUCUUGGCAGCCAUGGCUGCGUUGAGCUCUCCCCAGCCUUUGGCUGUGGGAGAGACAAAUCAAAACACUACUGAAACUAUAACAAAUUCCAAAUCAACACAGUCCUAUGCAACACAACUUCAACAAAACAGUGUAUCCAGAGUUGAGUUAAUUCUUGUUGCUGUUGUGCAUGGAGAUCCAACGAUUGAGUUCACCAUGGACCAGGUUAAUGAAUUUACAAGAGAAGAGGGACUACAUCAGGCUGUCGUGAUGAAAUUUUCAUACGGUAAACCAAAAUUACAAGAUAUCAGAAAGAAUCUGCCAGCGCAAUUCGAUAUUCAAGGUUGAUGUAAUAUUGGACUGUUGGAAUAUCGUCAUCUGCUGAUCCGUUUUGAUUUAUUCAACGACUUUGUUAAAUUCUUGUCAAGGUCGACUGGAUAUAUGAAAUCAAAAGGUGAUGAAUUUUUCUUUAGAACUUUUCCAUGGUCACUAGGAUUUAAUCCGAGGGAAGAAACUUCAAUGGCAGUCGUGUGGAUUUCCUUCCCAGGUUUGCCUCCAAAUCUCUUUGCUAAGACCUAGUGCAGCUAGAGUUAAAGUGAUCCUUGAUCUUAUGGACAAACAUCCAAAAAAAGUUAAAAUUGUUAUGACAGAUAGAGUUACUGGAAAAUCCAUUGUGCAUGAACAAGAAAUUGUUUAUGAUAAUCUUCCAAGCUAUUGCACGUACUGCAAACAUCAAGGGCACAAAGAAAUUUCGUGUCGAGUGAGGCAGAGACAAAUUGAAGAGGAGGCUGCUGAAGUAGAUACAACAGAUGAGAUUACUCUGCCUGCAACUGCCACAAGACUUCAUGAAGCUGUAUCAAACAGUGGGGCAAGACAAA
This 1663-nucleotide long non-coding RNA is filed under the name Nicotiana tabacum (common tobacco). RNAcentral describes it as "long non-coding RNA (NTAB_LNC019453)". Lineage: Eukaryota; Viridiplantae; Streptophyta; Magnoliopsida; Solanales; Solanaceae. The record is from RNAcentral.